GAUCCUGGCUCAGAUUGAACGCUGGCGGCAUGCUUUACACAUGCAAGUCGAACGGUAACAGGGAGCUUGCUCCGCUGACGAGGUGGCGAACGGGUGAGUAAUGCAUCGGAACGUACCCAGUCGUGGGGGAUAACGUAGCGAAAGUUACGCUAAUACCGCAUACGUCCUGAGGGAGAAAGCGGGGGACCGAAAGGCCUCGCGCGAUUGGAGCGGCCGAUGUCGGAUUAGCUAGUUGGUAGGGUAAAGGCCUACCAAGGCGACGAUCCGUAGCUGGUCUGAGAGGACGAUCAGACACACUGGGACUGAGACACGGCCCAGACUCCUACGGGAGGCAGCAGUGGGGAAUUUUGGACAAUGGGCGCAAGCCUGAUCCAGCAAUGCCGCGUGCAGGAAGAAGGCCUUCGGGUUGUAAACUGCUUUUGUACGGAACGAAAAGGUCUGGGUUAAUACCCUGGGCUCAUGACGGUACCGUAAGAAUAAGCACCGGCUAACUACGUG
RNAcentral lists this ribosomal RNA (498 nucleotides) under uncultured bacterium. RNAcentral's name for it is "bacterial SSU rRNA". It matches the Rfam family "Bacterial small subunit ribosomal RNA", at positions 15 to 507 of the family's 1533-position model. The record is from RNAcentral.